This 551-nucleotide ribosomal RNA is filed under the name uncultured fungus. RNAcentral describes it as "eukaryotic LSU rRNA". The stretch from base 186 to 339 matches the Rfam family "5.8S ribosomal RNA". The record is from RNAcentral. Lineage: Eukaryota; Fungi.
AAGUCGUAACAAGGUCUCCGUUGGUGAACCAGCGGAGGGAUCAUUACUGAGUAUUACACUCUCUACCCUUUGUGAACUAUUAUACCUGUUGCUUCGGCGGCGCCCGCAAGGGUGCCCGCCGGUCUCAUCAGAAUCUCUGUUUUCGAACCCGACGAUACUUCUGAGUGUUCUUAGCGAACUGUCAAAACUUUUAACAACGGAUCUCUUGGCUCCAGCAUCGAUGAAGAACGCAGCGAAACGCGAUAUGUAAUGUGAAUUGCAGAAUUCAGUGAAUCAUCGAAUCUUUGAACGCACAUGGCGCCUUCCAGUAUCCUGAGAGGCAUGCCUGUCCGAGCGUCGUUUCAACCCUCGAGCCCCUGUGGCCCGGCGUUGGGGAUCUGCCACGGCAGGCCCCUAAAACCAGUGGCGGACCCGAAGGGCCCUCUCCUUUGCGCAGUAGCAUUCGCCUCGCAUCGGGAGUCCUCGGCGUCCUGCCUCUAAACCCCCCACAAGCCCGCUUCGGCGGCACCAAGGUUGACCUCGGAUCAGGUAGGAAUACCCGCUGAACUUAA